AACCAGCACCCACACCGGCCGUUUGUGGAUAAGAUCGGACAUCCCCUAAUUACACGUUAAAUAGAAGCUUUCACGCUGCCCUGCAAAGAACCGAAAUCCCUUUAUCUCUUCAUAUUAAGAAUCGCAUACGAAAUGCCAAGUUCCCAUUACAAAGAUGAAGAAAGAAAUGAUUGAUGAGACUUUGGUCAACAUGAUUCUGAAGGAUUCACAACCCAUCAGUACUGUGGAUGAUGCUGGAGUUAGAGUGCUUGCGAGUAUCUUCCAUCCAACCUACAUUCUCCUAUCCAGUCCAAUCAUUAAAGGGUACGGUGGUAGAAAAAUUUAAGAUUAAAAAAGUGAAAGCAAAGGAAGAGGUGAAAAAGGCCAAAGCAGGGUUCGGCUAAGCCAAGAGCUUCCCAGUGAAGGAAACUCAAUAAUUCAUACCAAGACAUUUGGACAACUCAAUGUUUCAAACUUUGUGGGAACAGUUUGUGGAAGGCCCUUUUCUGUUCCAGCAUGACUGUGCCCAAGUGCACAAAGCAAGGUCCAUAAAGACAUGGUUGGGAGACUUUGGUGUGUAAGAACUUGACUGGCCCACACAGAGCCCUGACCUCAACCCUAUUGAAUGCUUUUGGGGUUAACUAGAACGAACAUUGCAAGCGAGGCCUUCACGUCUAACAUCAGUGCCUGACUUCACAAAUGUUCUUCUGGAUGAAUGGGCAAAGAUUUCCACAGAAACACUCCAAAAUCUUGUGGAAAGCCCUCCCAGGAGAGUGACAGCUGGUAUAGUUGCUUUGGGGGGACCAGCUUAUUGAUGUCAUUAAAGUUCCUGUAGGUGUAAUGGCCAGGUGUCCCAAUACUAUUGUCCAUAUAGUGUGUCUGUGUAUAGACACACACACAGUAUUUAUACUGCUUCCCCCCCCCCCCAUUUAAUUUUAUAUUGGUAUUUGGGCUACUCUGGGAGACGCAUCUCUCUUUCAUUGGUCUAUACAAUGACAAUAAAGAUUCUUGAUCCUGAUCAUAAUGACUCUCAGAAAACAGUAAUAGCAGAGAGAAGCAACAGCUUCUCCUCCUUUUGCACUACCCAUUCGCACCCCAAAGACAUGCUGAAAAUAUACAACAGCACAUUAACUCGCAUAUAUAUUGGACUCUAAAAAUGAAUACAGAAGCACAGAUGCACACAUGGAGGCCCCAUUCGGCAUAUUAGUGUGUUUAGGAGCUCCUUAAUGCACUUCCCAUGUAUUAACCGUGACAAGCAGAACAGUGCCGCACACAUCUCCUGUUCUCAGGGUGGCCGAGUUCUGGGUCUGUAUUGAAGGGAUAUGGCUGCCAUCUGGUGGUCGUUCUGUAAAUGUAGGAAUCCUAUCUCAUGGCCUUUUUUUGGCGAUUUUCUAUCAAUCUCAUCACUGUUUUAUGUAAGUAUAAU
Long non-coding RNA from Paramormyrops kingsleyae, 1405 nucleotides. RefSeq lists it as uncharacterized. The record is from RefSeq and is a predicted model, not a curated record. Lineage: Eukaryota; Metazoa; Chordata; Actinopteri; Osteoglossiformes; Mormyridae.